AAUAAUUGACAAUGGGGGCAACCCUGAUCCAGCCAUGCCGCGUGUGUGAAGAAGGUCUUCCGAUUGUAAACCACUUUAAGUUGGGAGGAAAGGCGUUAGGUUAAUACCCUGAAGUUGCGACGGUACGAACAGAAUAAGCACCGGCUAACCUAGUGCCAGCAGCCGCGGUAAUACAGAUGGUGCAAGCGUUAAUCGGAAUUACUGGGCGUAAAGCGCGCGUAGGUGGUUCAUUAAGAUGGGUGGGAAAUCCCCGGGCUUAACCUGGGAACUGCUUUCAUAACUGCUGAGCUAGAGUACGGUAGAGGGAAGUGGAAUUUCCUGUGUAGCGGUGAAAUGGGUAGAUAUAGGAAGGAAAACCAGUGGCGAAGGCGACUACCUGGACUGAUACUGACACUGAGGUGCGAAAGCGUGGGGAGCAAACA
RNAcentral lists this ribosomal RNA (422 nucleotides) under uncultured bacterium. Its description in RNAcentral is "partial 16S ribosomal RNA". It matches the Rfam family "Bacterial small subunit ribosomal RNA", at positions 360 to 774 of the family's 1533-position model. The record is from RNAcentral.